GUUCUAUCAUACUUUGCACAUAAAGCAGGUAAUUUCAAGCAGUAUAAAUACAUUACAACUCCCACGUGCCCACGUUCUUUUAUCAUCAAGGUAUUGUUAUCAAAAAUGUGGGCCCGCUGCAAAAGUGUUGCGAAUUACGGUCAAGGUCUUGUAUUAUCGUUAUCUAAUCGGUUGUUCAGCUCUGUUUCGUUGCAUUAGAUAGCGGUUGGCAGCUUCUGUCUGCAGCAGUUACAGCUCUUUUUUUGCGGUACACAGCUGUCAGAUGAUUGUGUAAUCUGUCUACCAGUGCUCGAGUGAAGAAUUGUUGUAUUGUAUAACAUUGGCUCAAUGGUACGGGGUUUAUGGUUUUGCGUUUAAAACGUGCGAUAGAUUUAUUCAUUGUAUGACUCUUUAAAUCCGAUUGCAAAUCCAAUUGGAUUAAUUCACAAAUAAGGAACACAAUUAGACCAACAGGGAUGUUUACUGAUCAUAGCAUGUUUAGAAUUCACUUACCGUAUUCUUACACAUAUCCUUUUCGAUCUACCCAUUAGUAAGGGGAAUCGGUCUCGCUCGGUUUUAACUUUCCCCAGAUUUAACGAAUUUCCCCUGCCAGCCCCGAGAAAACGAAACCUGCUCUCGAGUAAAGGAUUUGCUCCUCUCCCACGAAAGGAUCGUUCGGCAACCGGUCGUAUUCUCAACCGUAGGCAGGAAAACUUUGUCUCACGGGGGUUUUCCUUUUGCUUCCAGCCGCGAACGGUCCCCUCCGCGUGUCCUCGGACCCGUGUCUGUACAUAAUGCACGUUUUUGAAAUGCUUGAACUGUCGUCCUAGCCAGCCAGCCAGCGCACGGACCUCUUACGCAAAAAAGCAAAGAAGCCGCACCGAAUGGAAAGGAGUACGGGGAGAGAGAGAGAGAGAGACUUAUUUAUCGGCUUGAUUUAUGGCUUUCCGGUAGCGCGUUUCUCGCCUGGCCAUUUUUUGGAUUCGGUCGCUCGCUUUCUCGCUCAUAUCUCGGCUGCCUCGGUUGCUCCUUUUUGCGUGCAGUUUUCGGGCGGUUUUCGCGUGUGUUUCGUUCGUGCGCCCAAACUGUCGGCGCACGCAGUCGCGCCACGUGUUGGCCAGAGCGCACACAGGCGUUUGGAGCCCAUGGGCCCAACUGCUACCUCACGGCCAAACGGACGAACCGAUUCGCAAUCGCAUUCCAUCGGUGAAACGGUACAGUCGCACGCUCGCUCGCACGGGGAUUCGGCUAGCGCAGUGUGACGCGACAUUUCACUGCACUUUGGUAGGCUCUAGGUCUGGCCUGUUGUGGGCUGUUGUGGUGCGUGUGUCUGAAGUGUAGUGAAGAAUACAUUGGAACAAUCCUUGAUUCUUGUGCGGUGUGACAUGCCUUUUGUGAUGUUUCAGUGAUGUCUGGUAGACAGUUGAGUCCUUUUACUUGAUGUUAGGAUACUUGAAAGGAUCUUGUAUGUGUUUAGUAUUAGCAGUAUCACUGUGAAUACAUCUCAUAGAACUCGUCAGAAUCUAACCAUUUCCAGUUAAUCCUACAAGAAGGUUAGUAUUUAACUGUGCCCGUGUGUGCUCUCGCUCGCCACAUUACCAUUCCCUCGAUGCCGGUCUGUUGCCAUGUGUCUGGUGCGCGUGUCUCGCAUUAGGAACACGUUUAGUCCUGUCCGCACGAAUGCGUGUGCCCUGCGCCCGCUUUCGAGCGUUACGUGUCGCAUAGCUUUGCGCGCGGUAUUCGUUGCAUGAAAUUUGAAAAUUAAAUUUGCUUGGUCUCCCGGGUUUCGGCACCAGAGCGUGGGUUACGCGGGACGGUAAACACAAGAGACACAUUCCGGCAUGCACGAGAGCUGUCCAAACACGGUCGUGCCAGCUCUUCCAGACUUGCACCGGGCUUAAAGUUACUGCAUACACACACACACACACAUACAGACACAGCGAGCGAAACUCGGGGACUGGUUUUGUCUGUUUCAUUUCCGCGCGCGAUCUAACGAUCUUUUUGUCUUGGAAUUCAUGCCUUUUUUUUGUUGCUUUUGUUGUACGCUUUCUUUCCGCAGACACUAUCAUCGGGAGCCGCGAAUCGUCAGAUGAACCGCUACGUCGUCGUUGCCCUUUUUUUUUGAAAUGUUAGAAGAUUACGAAACCGGAGGCAAGAGCUAACAAAAACGAAGAAAUUUGCACGAGAACGUCGCGAACACUGCAGCACGCAAAAUGAACCACCACGAGAGAGGAAGAAGGGGUAUAGAGCGCACGUGUGUGUGUGUGUGUGCGUGUUUCAUUGCUCUCCCAUAAUAAGCUGUGCUGCUCCCCUACGCAAAUUUUCGUCGGAGCGUCGUCAUUGCGUGUGUUUGAAGCCGCCAAACCCUGCCCCGAAACGAAAAACGCACCCCAAAAAAUUGUUCGAAUAGGGGAGAAUUAGUGAGAAUUCACCAGUGCGUGUGCGUGUGUGUCCAUUUUGAGAUGGAUAGAGAGAGAGAGCGAGUGAGCAGAAAUUCGUGAGUGCGCUAUACUUCGCGAACGAAACCGAGAGAGAGAGAGAGCUCACACAAGAGGGGUUAAAAAGAAGGAGAGCAUUACGUACAGCGGAAUGUAUUCUUGAGCGCAAGCGAGAGGCAUCGGAGCAACCUGGAGCGAGAGAUACGACAGCAAACAAAAACAAAAAAAAAAAAACAAAAAAACCCGGAAGUACCGCAACCCCCGUUUAUGUCAAAAACGCAACCCCUAUCGUGCGGCGAUCGGGGGUAGGGGUUGAGAUCGAGCCCGAGCGUUUCGUGAGAGAAAACUACCGAAAAACCCUCUCCUCCGGCGCGAGAGCGAAACGCGCCUGGCCUCGGUGGGGGUAUGUUCAGCGUUCAGGGCAACCGAUCGGAUGCCUCCGGUUUUAUUGAAGUUUGAAUUUGGGCAGCGUUCGGAUCGGGGUAGUACAGCCUCUCGUGCACUGACUGGCAGCUCGGUCGUGCCUCCGCUGCCCCACAGUGUGUAUGUGUGUCCGUGUGUGUGUCUGUUCCUGUAUGUGUGCGUGUGUGUUCAUGCGUGUGUGCACAUACACACGGGGUGAUGGCGCUUUUGCGUUCGCGGCAGGCCGUCACUUUUCCUCGUGAAGGGAUCCUGGACAGUGGUUAGUGCCGCUAGUAGUAGUGCCCGUUUACCGUCGUCCCGUACAGUGCGCUUUCUCCACCCGGGUCGUGUGGUGGUCCUUUCGCCGUCCGGUUUGGGGUGCAAUGUCCUUUCGAAUGCUGAACCAACAACAUCAUUAGCAGUAGCCGUAGCCGUAUCCUUAGCAACUAUCUGUUUGCAGUGUUAAAAGUGUGAGCUACAUGCAUCGAAGUUUUGUGGAAUCGGAUCGAGAACUAGUAUUUUAGAAGUUUGUGUUUCGAGUGAUUUUUCUUUUUGAAUGAAACCGGUCGCUAAACUUUCCAGUGUCUGCAGUAAUGAAUGUGCGUGCUUUACUUCGUUUGCCACUGUUGAGUGCAGUUUUGAGUUGCAUUUUUUCGGCCAGCUGAGUGCAUUCGUUUGAGUCGCUUUGUGUUUCAUCGGUUUUUGCUUGGUUGGUUUCUUUUUUGCAAGUGUAUUGUGGAAUUGAAACGAUUGACACUUCCUUCGACGCUUGACACGCUGCCGAUGUUUAGUUGCCGCCUUGUACACACAAGAGUGCAUUUUUUGUGUUAAUUUUCUGUUUGAAUCCAACGCUGAGUGUUUGCAAGAAUACUGCUGCUGCUGCUGCUGCUGCUGUAAAAAAGAUGCUAGUAAUUCGCUUUCCCCAUCGGCCAACCCAACCGCACCAGGCUCCCGAUUAGAAACGUCCUCUAGGUACAGUUUGUGGUGGUGACCAAAAGUCAGCUGUAAUUUCGGAGAAUCAACAUCGCCACUGCACCAUGGUACAGGAACUGCACACAGUGCACUCUCUUCACCAGUUUACGUGCGUGGCUGUGGGCAAUCACAUCACUUGCUAUUCUAAAUUCAACAACCGAGCAGCGCGCGUCCUGGAUUGCAGUUUGGGGCUGCAAUUUUGCGGACCAUGUCACGGGUGCUACAAACUGAAUGUCGGAAGCGUCGGAUUCUUUAGGCGACCGAGACCGAGGCUCAAGGGAUAAACCGAAACGCCGAUUAUUUCACCACGGAGAAGAACCCGCCGUCCCGGAACGAUAAGUGACCCGCCGCAUCCUUCGCCAAACUACUGUUCACAAGCUCCGAUGGAGCACACACGCGCGGCCACGCGUAGUUUGGUGUAGAUAAUCUUAGCGAAGACUUUUUGGAGCAAGAGCAAGCGCAGAAGGUAAGCAAGAUUUUCUAAGAACAGUUUGUGUGUGUGUGUGUGUGUGUGUGUGUGUGUGUGUGUGUGUGUGUGUGCGUUCGUGGGUGAAAGGUGGAAAAUCCUUCCAUUCUCUCUUCCAGCAUGAAAGGUAAAAGUUGCGCACGGGUGCAUUAUUAUCGUUUCGUUCGCUUAUUUAAACUUUCAUCGAUAGCACGGGGGAAGGGUAGGGAUAAGAAUGGGAUGGUUUGAAAGUACUCCUAUUUCAUGCCCCGCACACACACACACACACACAUACACUAUUUGGCCACUUGUGGGUGUGAUGUGUACGCGAGCAGCGAUGCGCAACAACGAGAAACGCGCUGUCAUGUGGGAUGUGUUUUGUGAAGAAGCACACGCGCGACAUCGUUCCCGGGUUUAGCUCCGAGCAUGAUAAAAUAUCAACCUCGUAGGUGUGUGCGUGUGUGUGUGACUGAGUGUGUUGAUAAGAAAAGGUUCACCGGUGCAGGAUAACAUUAGAAGACAGUCUAAAAGAUACAGCCAGCGCAGCGUUAGAGCAAGCACAAAACGGCACACGGUGUCGCCUACGAUUCCUAGCAUUCCAAGAAGCAGAAUAACGUUUCAUUCUGUGAUCAGAUCACAUCCGCCCCUAUUAUCCCCUCCGAUCCCUGGCUACCGAAUCUUACCGAGAGAGAUGAAUUUUAUCCGAGAGUGAAGAAAAAAAGCCUCCCGGACAAUUGGGCACACAACAGUACGACGAUGAGGACGAUAAAUUCACUUCGGCCGGGGGCCCAACUUUUAAACACUUUUUGAGUUUAAAUUAAGUUAAAAGAGCACAACUCGUUUUCGUUUUCCAAGCGAAUGAUGGCGAGAAGGGAGGGUUGAAUCUUCCCCACCGCCCGUCCCCCCUUUUCUAAAUGGCGGUUUCUUUCGAAUCUUUUCCCGCUUUGCGGUGAAACACGAAACUCAAAUGCUAGUUUUGUAGUUUGGUGGGUCUGGUGGGGGAGGUAAAGGGUGGGAGCAAGUUGAAAUUAAAGCAACGCAUAACGCAGGACAAUGUUGAAUGGGGUCUGAUAACAGGGAAAGAUGUGACGCGGAAGGAAAGACUUUUAAAACACACACAUACACAGCCACAUAUACACUGCAGAUCGAAAACUUCUCCCGGACAGUUGAGUAUCGUUUUGGUCGUGUUGCGGUCGCUUUUCCCGAGGUCGGUUUUUUUUUCUUUUUUUUGUGUGCUUCAGGGGAAAGGGAAGUGCUUCCCGUUGGCGAUGGGAUGAGGUGAGGGUGAUGGCAUGCAGGCGACCUCCCAUAUACCGCAUAAUUGAAGGUUUCGUUCGCUUCUGUCUAGGUUCGUUUGAGUGCUAAUUAGUUUUAGUUUGCUCGUUUCCGUGUGUGUGUGUGUGUAUCGGAAGGGUGGAAUUGCUGCUGCUGCUGGCACUACCGUGGUUGUAUGGUUACGGAAAUUGUAUGUAUCAUACGGUUGUAGUGAUAUAUUUCUGAUUUGCUCUUCGGUACGGACUGGUUGAAGCCAGCGGGAAAGAGUGCAGCUGUGCCAUUGAAGGAGAUAUUCAAGGUAGAUAUCAUGAAGAAAUAUGAAUAUUUUUUUUUUUUUUUUUUUUGUUGAAGCUAGUCGGUGCAAAUCCUGUCAUGCAUCUAACUUCAAGCAUUAAAGUGAUUUCUAUCUUCUGUAAUUUUAUUACUUGAACUGUAUUGUGCACAAGUUUCGUUGAGUGUAUGAAAUACAUUAUGAGUUUUAUAAUCAAGCUGUAACCAUGCUAAGUUAAGUUAAAACAAACGAUCUUUAUGUGAGCCUGAAGUACAUUUCAAAAAGUAAAGCUAAAAGGUCAAAGGUCAUAAGAAAAAUUGACAUAUUGUACUACAUUGCGAUUCUUUGUUCUAGUGCAAGUGAACGUGAAGUAUGAUUUUUUAAUAGAAAAGAUAGAAAAUAUAAUAACAAGCCUAACGAAAGAAUAUUCCACUCUUCAAUUAUUUAAUGAUAUUCAACAAUAUUUAUAUCGAAAAAUUAAGGAAAGAAUUUAAAAAAAAUACAUAAGUUUGAAGUUUUAACAAUAAUGUUUAACUCCUGCGAGAACAGCACUAAAAACAGCAUGAUUUUAUCCAAUUACAGGAUUUUCCAGGAGUUCUCAAAGCUGUGGGACACUUUAUUGACUCUUACUUACGGGUAAGAUAGUAUAGCACCAUUGUUUGACAAAUCUAAUACGAAUUUCCAAGGAGCUUGUCCAAAAGGAGUACUAUAUAGUCCAAUUUCCAUCAUUUAAAUUUCACUUUCCAUA
This is a long non-coding RNA of Anopheles merus, 6530 nucleotides long. RefSeq lists it as uncharacterized. Lineage: Eukaryota; Metazoa; Arthropoda; Insecta; Diptera; Culicidae. The record is from RefSeq and is a predicted model, not a curated record. The transcript has 5 exons.